AAGGGCCUAAACGCAAGCUUAUAGUGGAAUGUACCGGUGAAGGUGUGUUGUUUAUUGAGGCUGAAGCUGAUGUUGCUCUUGAGCAAUUCGGUGAUGCACUUCAACCUCCAUUCCCUUGCUUGGAAGAGCUUCUUUUUGAUGUCCCUGGCUCCAGUGGGGUGCUUAACUGCCCUUUGCUGCUUAUUCAGGUGACGCGCCUAAAAUGCGGUGGUUUUAUAUUUGCUCUCCGUCUCAACCACACCAUGAGCGAUGCUCCUGGCCUAGUCCAAUUCAUGUCCACCGUAGGAGAGAUGGCACGUGG
RNAcentral lists this unclassified non-coding RNA (301 nucleotides) under Hevea brasiliensis (rubber tree). Lineage: Eukaryota; Viridiplantae; Streptophyta; Magnoliopsida; Malpighiales; Euphorbiaceae. The record is from RNAcentral.